UACAAAGCCCCCGCCCCCUUCUACAAAAUCCCUGCAGCCCCACACACACUUUUACAGGCAGACAGUCACACACUCAGUUACAGACAGUCACACACUCAGUUACAGGCAGACAGUCACAUACAGUCACAGGCAGACAGUCACACAUACACAUUUCCUCCGUGCGGCCAGUUUAUCAGCUGUUUGCUUGUGUGAGCUGUACUGGCCGCACGGCACCCUAACUACCAUGGGACACUGUGCGGCCACAGCUCACACAGCCCCCUCCAGCCAGGGCCGGUGCAAGGAUUUUUGCC
Molecule: long non-coding RNA, 290 nt
Filed under: Pelobates cultripes (western spadefoot toad)
Lineage: Eukaryota; Metazoa; Chordata; Amphibia; Anura; Pelobatidae
Source: RNAcentral